RNAcentral lists this ribosomal RNA (468 nucleotides) under uncultured bacterium. RNAcentral's name for it is "partial 16S ribosomal RNA". It matches the Rfam family "Bacterial small subunit ribosomal RNA", at positions 28 to 507 of the family's 1533-position model. The record is from RNAcentral.
GACGAACGCUGGCGGCGUGCUUAACACAUGCAAGUCGAACGGAAAGGCCCUGCUUUUGUGGGGUGCUCGAGUGGCGAACGGGUGAGUAACACGUGAGUAACCUGCCCUUGACUUUGGGAUAACUUCAGGAAACUGGGGCUAAUACCGGAUAGGAGCUCCUGCUGCAUGGUGGGGGUUGGAAAGUUUCGGCGGUUGGGGAUGGACUCGCGGCUUAUCAGCUUGUUGGUGGGGUAGUGGCUUACCAAGGCUUUGACGGGUAGCCGGCCUGAGAGGGUGACCGGCCACAUUGGGACUGAGAUACGGCCCAGACUCCUACGGGAGGCAGCAGUGGGGAAUAUUGCACAAUGGGCGGAAGCCUGAUGCAGCAACGCCGCGUGCGGGAUGACGGCUUUCGGGUUGUAAACCGCUUUGGCCUGUGACGAAGCGUGCGUGACGGUAAUGGGUAAAGAAGCACCGGCUAACUACGUG